Molecule: long non-coding RNA, 344 nt
Filed under: Calidris pugnax (ruff)
Lineage: Eukaryota; Metazoa; Chordata; Aves; Charadriiformes; Scolopacidae
Description: lncRNA (ENSCPUG00000016443.1)
Source: RNAcentral
ACUCAUCAAACCUGCUGUCCUCAGCUGUGGCCACCACAUAACACUGAGAUAAAACCUAUCAAGAAAUCCAGCCAGACUGGAGGAUGCCCACAGAAUCACACUCUGACCUCUCCCCUGCUACUGAUAACACAAUGCCCAGACUCAGCGCGACAUUCAAGAAAUGUAAGUGCCCUAGAGUGCUUCUGUAAAGGCCGCCCAGAUUGCCACUGGCUUUUUCUAAAGGGGUUGCAAACCAAUUUCUAAUUCUGGUCUACUAUCAGAAUAGUAGGCUCGCUGUCUCCUUCAAUUUUUUCUUCCCAUGCUGCGUAUAUGUGGAUGUUUUCAAUAAAAUCAUUGAAAAAAAA